RNAcentral lists this long non-coding RNA (763 nucleotides) under Homo sapiens (human). RNAcentral's name for it is "HSALNT0089622". Lineage: Eukaryota; Metazoa; Chordata; Mammalia; Primates; Hominidae. The record is from RNAcentral.
UGAAAUAUCUGCAUGCUUUUCAUUCAAGAGAUAUAGGAUCCUGGACUAGACUUUAUUGAAGAAAGAGGAAAGACAGAUAUUUCUAGAUGUCUUUAGGAAUGGGAGAUACAUGUUGUAAUUGAAGAGUUCAGCUUAGAGGUGAAGUGAUUGAAUAGAAGUUUAAUAAGUUAUAUCCAUUCUGUGAAAAGAUCAGUCACCGAAUUUUUAAUGUAAUUGUUACAAAAAUAGCCAGCUAAAGUCAGAAAAAGACUGCCCCCAAAAGGGGCUUUUAAAAAAAUUAGGAUUGGACUUGCCUAAGUAAAAACACAAUGUAGAUAUCCAACUUAACAACUUUAAGUAGGGAGAAAAAACUAUUGAGAUCCGGGUGAUUUUUUUUUUUUUUUUUCUGUUCCUAUCACAUCUCACUCCCAGUAGGUGUUGCAUUUUUGGAUGAAUCUAAUAGUUUUCCUUUAUUUUCACUUUUCACGAGGUGAGAUUAGAUGUCUGUGUGAAAUGAAUGUUUUACUAUGGUCCUACACAUAAUGUUAAAAUUACAAAGUAAAAUAAUGAGGUACAAGAUAUUUAUUGACACCAAAAUACAUACAAGUAUUUCCGAACAAGAUGAAAAUAUCUCCUGGUUUCUCACACAGAGACCCAUACUACUCGGAAGGCAGGAUAUGCCAGUUUUCCUUUGUGGAAAAGUGUAUCCAGGGAGUGGUAGUUGGUGCUCCAGGUGCUGGCAGGGACAGGACAGCUGAUUGAUAGAAGUGAGGGCUCUAACAAA